UACGAAGGGUGCAAGCGUUACUCGGAAUUACUGGGCGUAAAGCGUGCGUAGGUGGUUUGUUAAGUCUGAUGUGAAAGCCCUGGGCUCAACCUGGGAACGGCAUUGGAAACUGGCUUACUAGAGUGCGGUAGAGGGGUGUGGAAUUCCCGGUGUAGCAGUGAAAUGCGCAGAUAUCGGGAGGAACACCUAUGGCGAAGGCGGCUGCCUGGCCCAAUACUGACACUCAGGUGCGACAGCGUGGGGAGCAAACAGG
This 253-nucleotide ribosomal RNA is filed under the name uncultured bacterium. RNAcentral describes it as "partial 16S ribosomal RNA". It matches the Rfam family "Bacterial small subunit ribosomal RNA", at positions 524 to 776 of the family's 1533-position model. The record is from RNAcentral.